RNAcentral lists this long non-coding RNA (801 nucleotides) under Homo sapiens (human). RNAcentral's name for it is "HSALNT0370600". Lineage: Eukaryota; Metazoa; Chordata; Mammalia; Primates; Hominidae. The record is from RNAcentral.
GCACUGGUUACUUCCCCCGUCCUCUCAGCUCUGGGAAGGGUGGGGUGGUCAUGAAGUCCUGAGAGAGCAGAGGGACACACCAACUUCUCUUGUUGGUUCCCUCAACCCUGCCCAUACCUAUGGGUAAUCAGAGAUGGAUUCAGUCUCCAGUUAGGAUCCUCAUCAAGGUAUUUGUAUGGGGGAUUCCAUGCAGAUGGUGUAUAGAGAGAAGAUAGACACAAGGGAUCUUCAUAGCCAAGGACUGGAUUUGAACAAGUCAGUCUCCAGCUAUGUUUUAGACACUGAGGACUGUGCCCGUCAUCCCUUAGAGCUUCUCUCUGGGCCACUGGCUCGAAGGGCACAUCUCAGGGAAAAAGAACCCAGAAUUCACAACGGAACAUCAACAUAUCCAAAAGACAAGUUUCAAUGAACAGAUUCUCAGCAAAAGGACUCUAAGGAUGCAGAGGAAGGGAAGUCACCCAAUCUGGGAAGGAGGUUUUUAUUAAGUAUAAAAACAGGUCAUCCACACAUAGCAAUGUGCUUUUCUAGAGAAAACCAUCCUACUCACCGAGAGCCAGGAUUGAGUGGGGCUUCUGCUGUGUCUCUAGAUGAUGCCUUAAGAAACACCCACUCCCCGUGAGGGAUGUUACCAAGAAGUCAAGAACCACCAGUAACUUUGAAAAGUCCAGAUUACUCAGUCUCGGGUAUGUGUAUCAGCAAUGUGAAAACGGACUAGUACAUCUCUAGAGGCACAUGCCAUGUGGUCCAGCCAUAAUUAUUUGUUGUCACAACUAAGUUUCCUUUCUAUAUGAAAAGAUUAUA